GUGACUCAGUCUGCAAAGUAGUUUGGUUCAACUCUUGAAUCAGAUAAGUCAAAAAACUGUUUUGAAUAAUUCGAACCGAUGGUUUAAUUAUCAAACCAACAAAAAAUGGUUAAGUUUUAACUAAACGUGCAAGAGUUUUUUUUAGCAAGUCAUAUUAAAAUUCAACGACUUAAAAUCAAUCUGACUGAUUUUAUUUUCUAUUAGAACAAAUUAGUCUUAUAAAAAGCGAAACUUGAAAAUGUAUAUCUACUUAAUUUA
RNAcentral lists this long non-coding RNA (258 nucleotides) under Ananas comosus (pineapple). Its description in RNAcentral is "long non-coding RNA (ACOM_LNC015370)". The record is from RNAcentral. Lineage: Eukaryota; Viridiplantae; Streptophyta; Magnoliopsida; Poales; Bromeliaceae.